CUCAACUGACCUCGGGUGGGCUUUGGAGACCACCAAAACCACCCUGGGGGGCUUGGGGACCACCAGGAACAUCAUGGUGGCCACCAGGAACAUCAUGGUGACCACCAAGAACAUCAUGGUGGGCUUUGGGGACACCAUGGAGACCACCAAAACCACCCUGGGGGGCUUGGGGACAUCAUGGAGACCACCAGGAACAUCAUGGUGGGGUUUGGUGACCACCAAAAACAUCUUGGUGAGGUUUGAGAACAUCUUGGUGGGGCUUGGAGACCACCCUGGUGGGCUUGGGGACCACCAGAAACAUCUUGGUGGGGCUUGGUGACCACCAAGGUCAGGUUUUGGCCACCAAGGUUGGAAUUUGGCCACCAAGGUCAGGUUUUGGCCACCAAGGUCACCAUUUGGCCACCAAGGUCAGGUUUUGGCCACCAUGGUCGGGAUUUGGCCACCGUGGCCAAGAUUUGGCCACCAAGCUCCAUCUUUGGCCACCAAGGUCAGUUCUUGGCCUCCAAGGUCAGGUUUUGGCCACCAGGAUCAGGUUUUGGCCACCAAGGUCAGGUUUUGGCCACCAAGGUCAGUCUUUGGCCACCAUGGCC
Molecule: long non-coding RNA, 590 nt
Filed under: Parus major (Great Tit)
Lineage: Eukaryota; Metazoa; Chordata; Aves; Passeriformes; Paridae
Description: lncRNA (ENSPMJG00000002295.1)
Source: RNAcentral